This 717-nucleotide long non-coding RNA is filed under the name Ananas comosus (pineapple). RNAcentral's name for it is "long non-coding RNA (ACOM_LNC017743)". Lineage: Eukaryota; Viridiplantae; Streptophyta; Magnoliopsida; Poales; Bromeliaceae. The record is from RNAcentral.
UGAUAUUGGAUUUUAUUGGGUUAUUGGAUGUUUUGUGAUUUAAAACUUGUUAAGAUUUUAUUUUUUGAUUUUAUCUUUAUUUUAAUCCUUAUCUUUAUCUUUAUCCUAAUCCUAAUCUUUUUCAUAUAAUCUUAGACUUAUCUUGUUCUACUCGAAUUUAACACGAUGGAACAAGAUUCUUGCCUUUGAUUAUAAAUAUGGGGCGAGGUUGCACGAGUUUAUGAAUAAUAAUAACCCGAGUAUACCUAAACCCUCUCGUCUUUUUCUACUUUCUCGCUAUUAAUUUUCGCCGAGUUUUUGUUGUUGGAUCUGAAGCUAGUUGGGUCAUCUUGCGCCACCUUGGAAGCGUGCCGACGGGGCGGAACGUGGUCGUUGUAUCGUUAGGAGUAAUUGCCGGGAAGCCUCGCACGUAGAGGGGCAAUUUGGCUUAUAGGACAAUGCUCUGCACGCCUCGAUCCACAGGGCAUAUCUAAACCUUAUCUUUAUAAUAUUUUUGUUUAAUUUUGUUUUGGAAUUUUUCUAUAGCUGAAAUUGAAUUUUCGAGUUGUUUUUAAAGAGUAUUGUAAUAAAAGAUCUGAAAGAUUUUCCAACAAUCUAGAAGCGAAAUUUUUUAAUUAACUUAAUCUUUCUGAUCUUUCUGUUUCUUUUAUUAUUUUUAUUAUAGUUAUUAAAAUAUUUCUUUUCUACAAAUUAAUAAAUAUUUAGUAAACUGCUUUA